This is a non-coding RNA of Triticum aestivum (bread wheat), 126 nucleotides long. The record is from Rfam. NCBI's taxonomy places the organism in Eukaryota, Viridiplantae, Streptophyta, Magnoliopsida, Poales, Poaceae.
AAUAUACUCCCUCCGUCCGAAAAAGCUUGUCCCAACCUUGUCUCUCAAAUGGAUGUAUCUAGCACUAACUUGGUACUGGAUACAUCCAUUUGAGAGACAAGCUUUUCCAGACGGAGGGAGUAGCUA